GGGUGUGAGGGCAAUGUGGCUAUGACAUCUGUCACCCCAUUGACUUCCAGGGUUGAUUCAGCUGAUCUGGCUGGCUAGGAGAGUGUCCUCUUCCUCCCUUAUGGCUCCUUGUGCUUCCCUCCCAAAGCUGUGCGCUUGGUCAAAGAGGAUGACCUUUCCCAAAUAGAGGAGGACUGGUCUUUGGUCAAGGGUAUACGAGUAGCUGCGCUCCUCUGCUAGAACCCCCAAACAAGCUCUCCAAUAUCUAUUUGUGAUUUUCUUUUGAGACAAGGUCUCAUGUAGAGACUUACAACUCACACCUGGGGAUAAUGUU
RNAcentral lists this small nuclear RNA (313 nucleotides) under Jaculus jaculus (lesser Egyptian jerboa). Its description in RNAcentral is "7SK RNA (ENSJJAG00000006150.1)". It matches the Rfam family "7SK RNA". From Rfam's summary of the family: 7SK was discovered as an abundant small nuclear RNA in the mid-70s but a possible function has only recently been suggested. Two independent studies have found that 7SK RNA binds the CDK9/cyclin T complex (known as elongation factor P-TEFb). Lineage: Eukaryota; Metazoa; Chordata; Mammalia; Rodentia; Dipodidae. The record is from Rfam by way of RNAcentral.